CUCGGACGUCAUCGGUCACGUGGAAUGGUCACACAUAUAAGCGGCAACACGCACUUUGUUAAAGUAAAACAAGCUUCGACGUUGUGUAUCAAACGUCCCGUCAUUGGACUAUGACUCCUGGGCCCCCGUUAAUGUCUGUGUCCCAGGCCCAGUGAGGAGAUGGUCCUGAGUCCUCCCUGUUACCCCAAGGACCAGUUCACCACCAGCAUCCUGAGACACUGGCUGUCCAAUUUACAACAACAUGCCCAGCUGAUCAAGAACCACCAGCCCCGCAAGAGACAGAGGUGAGGACCGUCAUAUGAGGACGGUCUCUGGGUACCUGUUGAACAGCGGUUGUGUCUCCGUCCUCAGUCUUUGCAGUUCCAGCAGUAACCUGGCUCAGCUCACCCUGAAACAGAUCUUGGAGCUCAUGGACAACCUGCGGCUGAGCCUGAGCAACACCAAGAACAGCUGGGGGGGAGACCAGAAAGCAGGGGAGGCUUUAGGGCGGGGGCUACCUUGUGAUUGCCAAGUCGCUAGCUGUAACCCUAAUAUGGUACCCUGUGAGGGACCAAGAUGUCAGGCAUGAGGAGUCAGAAAGAAUCAUUAUCAUCCCCAUCAUCAUCAUGUGGAGGACGACAUGGGUUUUUUGGUGCAGGAGGGGGCACAUCUGGUUCCACUGGAGUCUCUCCAAAGGAUCGCUCAGAAGUUUGUGAUCGCAUGAAAAGAUUGUUGCUGUUCUUGGCCGGGUUGAAUGGGAAUAUCCCUGACCCACGGACUCCAGCCUGGGCAUUUGAUUGUGUAGCAGCUACCUUCCAGGCCUUGGAAACAGAGGUAUAAACAACUCUUGCCUUUGAAUAUGAUGAGCGUGGGUCCAUACCCACCAGCCGCAUUGAUGCUGGCAAGACAGGCCUUGGUCUCGCCCUUCUCACCACCGGUAACCUCAAAACAAGGUGACCCAAACUCAGCAACCACCCUAAUUGACAGGAAGUGGUCCUGGAGCCCUGUUUCAUCAGUUCCAUAUAUGGUCGGGAGCAUUCUCCAACCCCAGACUCUCAGUCGUAGUUUUAUAUUUGUUAAACCAAUCUUUCACCACAGUGGGGUUGAACCCUGCAGCGCUCGAGGCUGAGGGCACCUCUGGUUUUCGGAUACUCAGGUUCUUGUUUCUUUUCAAGAAAUCCCAAUUCAGUUUCUGUAUUUCCACCAUCAUAAGGGGGAAUCCUCGUUUUUCUAAUGUACAUAUAACUUCCGCCAGCUCAGCUUCAUCCUCCAGGUUAAUAAGUGGUUUCCUUCCAAUUGUGUGGUGAAAGUGGCCAUUGCCUUUUGCCCUGCGAUGGAGAGUUGAUUUAGGCACAUUCCAUGCCCUGGCCAACAGUCUUAGCUGAGGGACCCCACCAUCUUCAACGAUCUUCCUAUACUCCUCUAAGGCUCCUUUCAUCCUAUCCUGCCUCCACUGAUUCAGUUUCUUUCUCUUGUCCUGCCUCUUGUUGUGCUUCUGACAAUCUCUCCCUGUCUUUCUCUGCUUUGCCAUUUUGAUCUGAAACACGUCAUUAAUAAUGAAAUGCAUAAAAUAAAGUGGAAUGGUUUCAAGUUUUUAAAGUCAGAGCUAUUUUUUCAUUUUAAGACACCUACUAUCUUCACACACUCACAACCAAAAAUAGCCUUUAAACCUCCAUCUCCCAAAGAACAAAAAGUUCCCAUGACCCUAAACAUCUGUAGUAACAGCCUUCUAAUAUUACAUAACAACACUACACACCUGUAAAUAACCAUUUUUGUCCCACUAACCAUGCCCCACCACACAUUUUUGACUGACCAUACUUUCCAAUUGUCCCACAUUAGGCUAAUCAUGCUGUCCCACUUUACGAAACCGCAUUUCCUAAUCUGGGACACUAGGAAAUUUUAUAAAAAUAGAAAAUAUAUAGUUUACACAUACAAAGUUAUAGUAUUUUUUGAUGGAAAAACAUUUCAUAACUGCAUUGGGCCAAAAAUUUGCAUGAUUGUUUGGUUUAAAAUGUAUUUAUACUCCUUAAUAUUAAGUUUGUCAAAAGUCUGUCACUAACCUUUGGGUGGUCGGCACACAAAAUGGUUCCGGUUUGAUAAUGGCUCCACCCUCAUUUAUGACUGCACAUUUGAGAGGUGGUGUGAAUUUGAAACAUGACACCACAGGUUUGGCUAAGCCAGAGUCUGAUUGGCAUUCAUGUAUUUAUGGGGGACCUACACACACUAGACCUUAGAUGUCCCACAUUAGGGCAAUUCACCCUAUAUAGUGGCUGAUCAGACCCUAACCCCAAGUAGUAACUCCCCAGGAACUGGUAACUCAAAAGAAAAGGUAUUAGUUUCACAGAACGUAACUUAAAGAUGAUGAACCUGAAAUUAGCUAAAUUGACAAAGCUAACUAAA
Micropterus dolomieu (smallmouth bass) is the source of this 2379-nucleotide long non-coding RNA. RefSeq lists it as uncharacterized. The record is from RefSeq and is a predicted model, not a curated record. The transcript has 3 exons. Lineage: Eukaryota; Metazoa; Chordata; Actinopteri; Centrarchiformes; Centrarchidae.